RNAcentral lists this ribosomal RNA (342 nucleotides) under uncultured bacterium. Its description in RNAcentral is "partial 16S ribosomal RNA". It matches the Rfam family "Bacterial small subunit ribosomal RNA", at positions 338 to 697 of the family's 1533-position model. The record is from RNAcentral.
CCUACGGGUGGCAGCAGUAGGGAAUAUUGCUCAAUGGGGGAAACCCUGAUGCAGCAACGCCGCGUGGAGGAUGAAGGUUUUAGGAUUGUAAACUCCUUUUGUUAGAGAAGAUAGUGACGGUAUCUACCGAAUAAGCACCGGCUAACUCCUUGCCAGCAGCCGCGGUAAUACGGAGGGUGCAGCAUUUACUCGGAAUCACUGGGCGAAAAGAGCGCGUAGUCGGGAUAGCAGGUCAGAUGUGAAAGCCUAUGGAUAAACCAUAGAACUGCAUUUGAAACUGUUAUUCUAGAGUAUGGGAGAGGUAGGUGGAAUUCUUGGUGUAGGGGUAAAAUCCGUAGAGAU